RNAcentral lists this long non-coding RNA (1493 nucleotides) under Falco tinnunculus (common kestrel). RNAcentral describes it as "lncRNA (ENSFTIG00000007933.1)". The record is from RNAcentral. Lineage: Eukaryota; Metazoa; Chordata; Aves; Falconiformes; Falconidae.
GAUAGAUGGGGGAGAGGCACCAGGGCAGAUGGAGGCCCUGGGAUCUGCCUCCAGGAAGGGACCCCCACUCUGCCCACUCCCUCCGUGGGACACUUGGUCACCCCUGGGUGGGUGCUGGGGCCAGGGCCACCCCCAGGCUACAACCCGGGAGGGGGAACCCCCCCGGGCAGGGCCGGAACUUGCCCUCAGCACAAAAAAAAGGGGGCAACAAUGGGCUAAGAGGACAGGGUGGUCCCCGGUCGUGACAGUGGCUUCCAGGGGACUGCCAGGUCACCUAGUGGUGGCUUUGCUCCGAACUGGGGGAUUCGGUCACCCUGCUGGGCCCGGGAGAUGGUGGCUCUGGGUGAGAUGGGAUGAGCCGGGAUGGGGCAUCAGUGAGUCCUUCCUCACACACACGUGUAACUCCUCUGAAUGGCGUUUGCAUGCUUUCUCUGAAAAGCCUAAAUAUAUACUCGCCUUCCCAUAAAACCCCUCAUGUGAAUCCAAAAUAUACACGGGGAGCAGGCUGAGGGGGGAGCAGGGGUAGCAGCUGGGGCGGGGGCUUUGCCUUCCCAGCAUCGCCGGUUUAGGAGGGGAAAUCGGCCAAAUUCAGCUAAAAAUGGAGAUGCAGCCCCUGGCCUGGAGCACGUCCUGCGGCUGAGCAUCCUCCCAGUGGGGCACUCGGGGCAGCCCUCCUCUUUGGGGGGUGCAACAUCGCCGGAGGGGGUCUGCCCCGAGGUCCCCACCUGAGUCACUUCUCUCUGUUUUAAUUGUGCUGUAAUUAGAACGAUCCAAGCUAACAAUAUUUUUUUUUAAGUGCGUUAGUAUCAUCAGCAAGAAGCUGGGGGGCAGAGCAAAACCCGAGGAAAGGCUUUGGGAUGGGGCAGGGACCUGGGGAGGUUCCUGAGGCAAGGGGUAUCCCUAGGCCGGAGGGUCCCUGGGGCAAAGGCGGGGUCCCUGGCAGGGGUGUCUCUGGGGCAGGGAGUCCCUGGGCAGGGGUCCCUGGACAAGGGGAGCGUGGAGCCGCGGGCCGGGGGCGCGUUGCUGGGGCUGCACCGCCCCGCCGUGGCCGCGGCCACCCCUGCAGCUCCGCCGCUGCCCCUGGAUGGAGCCUGGAGGCAGAAGGCCCCGUAGGUCCCCACCAAGGGGUUGUCACCCGAGCGGUGGCCCCUGAGGAGCGACGGGGAGAGAGGUGCCCCCUACAAGCGAGUCGGGGUCCCGCGGGGGGAGCGGCCGCAGCCCGGCUGCCACCGCGUCCUUUUCUGCCCCACUGCGACCAUGGUCCGCUUCUGUCGGGUCAGGCAAUUCUCCGUGAGCCAGGAAACAUCACACCACCCAACACUGCUGGGACACCCCCACGCUGGCUGCUGGGUGCAGCUCCCCAGGCCCCUCAGACCGCCCUUCCUCCCCACACCCCAGAGCACGAAGAGGAGGAGGAGGAUACAAAUGGCUUCUGCACAACCACCAGCUCUGCAGAGCACCAGCCCCAGCCUGCGAAGAGGGGAGGAAGGUGA